Non-coding RNA from Mauremys reevesii (Reeves's turtle), 686 nucleotides. Lineage: Eukaryota; Metazoa; Chordata; Testudines; Geoemydidae. The record is from the annotation of a RefSeq genome assembly.
CGUGGAGGUCUGAACACCUCUCAGUGGAACUACUGGGGCCACUUAUCUCAAACAAUGAACAAGUGUUUGCUUCUGAGCCUCUUCCUAGGGACUCGGUGUCCAGGUGCUGUGUCUGGGAAUUCAGUCCAAUCCAUUGAACCCGACAUGUCUGGCACAGAAGGAAACGCUGUGACACUCAGCUGCUCCUACAGCACCAGCUAUAGCGGUGUCUCUCUACAGUGGUACCGCCAGAGCCCCAACCAAGCCCCGCAGUACAUUCUCCAGAGAGGAGCGAAGGGAAGCACCAUCAGUGACCACGCAGAUUUUGCCCUGACGAGAUUCACUUCUGAGACUAACGCCACGGCUACAGUUCUGAUCAUCAAAGACCUGGAGCUGGCAGACAGAGCUGUGUAUUAUUGUGCCUUGAAUGAAACACAGUGAGAGAGCCCCCGGAGACAGCUGCACGAAAACCUCCCACAUCCCUCACGUGCCUUCGUCCCCGUCUGUCUUGGGUGUUGAGUUUGAAAAACCUUUGAGGCAGGAGCUGUCUCUCACUGGGUGUCUGUGCAGCUCCCUGCCUGACGGGGACAGCCCAGAUCUCAGUUUUAUCCUCCUGUGCCAUCACCAUGACCAUCAAUUUCCAAUUGUGUGCUAGGAAAUACUUGGUCUCAGCAUUUUAAUCUGAUUUCGGGGUUUGAACACCAGAU